Molecule: ribosomal RNA, 433 nt
Filed under: uncultured bacterium
Lineage: Bacteria
Description: partial 16S ribosomal RNA
Rfam family: Bacterial small subunit ribosomal RNA (bases 54-433)
Source: RNAcentral
GGGGGGGGGGGGGGGGGGGGCGGGGGGGGGGGGGGCGGGGGGGGCGGGGGGGGGUGGUGGGGCGCGGGGGCGGGGGGCGGGGGGACCUGCCGGUAGGGGCGGGGUGGCGCAGGGAAGUUUGAGCUAAUACGGGAUAGUGUCCUCGGACCAACGAUGUAUCGCCUUUGGAUGGGCCCGCGUUGGCGUAGCUCGUUGGUGGGGUAAAGGCCUACCAAGGCGACGCUCCAUAGCUGGUCUGAGAGGAUGAUCAGCCACACUGGGACUGAGACACGGCCCAGACUCCUACGGGAGGCAGCAGUGGGGAAUAGUGGACAAUGGGCGAAAGCCUGAUCCAGCAAUGCCGCGUGAGUGAUGAAGGCCUUAGGGUUGUAAAGCUCUUUUACCCGGGAUGAUAAUGACAGUACCGGGAGAAUAAGCCCCGGCUAACUCCGUG